RNAcentral lists this ribosomal RNA (447 nucleotides) under uncultured bacterium. RNAcentral describes it as "partial 16S ribosomal RNA". It matches the Rfam family "Bacterial small subunit ribosomal RNA", at positions 355 to 817 of the family's 1533-position model. The record is from RNAcentral.
UGGGGAAUCUUAGACAAUGGGGGAAACCCUGAUCUAGCCAUGCCGCGUGAGCGAUGAAGGCCUUAGGGUUGUAAAGCUCUUUCAGCUGGGAAGAUAAUGACGGUACCAGCAGAAGAAGCCCCGGCUAACUCCGUGCCAGCAGCCGCGGUAAUACGGAGGGGGCUAGCGUUGUUCGGAAUUACUGGGCGUAAAGCGCGCGUAGGCGGAUUUAGUCAGUCAGAGGUGAAAUCCCAGGGCUCAACCCUGGAACUGCCUUUGAUACUGCUAGUCUUGAGGUCGAGAGAGGUGAGUGGAAUUCCGAGUGUAGAGGUGAAAUUCGUAGAUAUUCGGAGGAACACCAGUGGCGAAGGCGGCUCACUGGCUCGAUACUGACGCUGAGGUGCGAAAGCGUGGGGAGCAAAACAGGAUUAGAUACCCUGGUAGUCCACGCCGUAAACGAUGAUGCCA